UGAUGAUGAAAUUGCUGCAUAGGAAGUGCCGUCUGAUGCGAUAACUGCCGAUAGCAAAAGCUGUUCUGAGA
This is a small nucleolar RNA of Thalassophryne amazonica, 71 nucleotides long. RefSeq annotates it as small nucleolar RNA SNORD49. The transcript has a single exon. NCBI's taxonomy places the organism in Eukaryota, Metazoa, Chordata, Actinopteri, Batrachoidiformes, Batrachoididae. The record is from RefSeq and is a predicted model, not a curated record.